ACAGGAGGUAGUAGAAAUACAUUAUCACGUGCACCGAAGAGUUUAUGACAAUCACCCCAGGAAACAAAGACUGUGAAGUGUGUAAGGAUAUGUAACACAUGACCACGACGGUUGCAUGGUGAUACACGUGGAGAAAAGUCAGCCUUCUGAUGGAGUUGCUCAAGAUGAUCAAGAGCGUGUCCAUGAAUUCAAAAAUCUUUGAGAGAUAGAAAAUAUGCGACCAGAAGAAGAGAGGCCCUCUUGGAGGGGUGUUUAUAGGGUAACAAACGAUGCAGUCCACAUUAGGUGAGCGCAGAAUAAUGGAGAGGGUGCAACCGACGGCCAUGGUGAAGGAGAGAGUGAGGAGGAUAAUGUUAUGAACGGCUGUGAGAAACCUGAGGAUGCGAGGCCCAACUGAGGGGAGAGUGACAAGUGAGAGGGUGAAAGUAAGGGAGAGGUAGGAGAAGACAGUGAGGGUGAGGAAGAGUGGAGAGGCUCCUAGUGUCUGGCCUUGGUUCCAUGAAAAGUUGAGGAUAUGAGGGUUGUUCACGAGCCAGUAUUCGAGGGUCGAGAAAACUGGUUUCUUGGCUAGAUGGUUCACAACACAGUGUUUGAUUGUUUGGAAAAGGAAUUCCAUGGCAGUAGUGGCUUGCUAAUGUAGAGAUGGAAAGGGGAGUGGGGAGAGAGAAGGGUGAGAUGAGGGUUUUUGCUGUUCUUGCGAAAUGCAAGACUAAGUAAAUGUCCGCAAGGAAUAUUUAAAGCUGCGUACACUAUCUAUCUAUUUAUGUUUUUUACUAUUCUAACCAUUACCUAUUUUAAAUGUAUUUAAAAAUGUGUCCCACAAUAUAAACAAUGAAGGAACUGUAUUUUUUUUUUUUUUAUAAUAUUAUAUUAAUUUUAAAUUAAUAUCAUGAUAUUUUGUUAAUGUUCAAUUACUUACAUAUUUUUCUUAUUAUAACAUUAAGUAAAAAAAGUAAAAAAAAAUUGUUAAACUCAAUGAAAUCAUGAUCUGAAUUUGUGAAUUUUGCGGGGGUUAAGCCAUUAAACUCAAGUUGAUCCAACAUAUCAUCUUAAUAUUAAAAAAAAAAUAUAUCCUGAAAUAUUUGUAAGCGAGCCAUAUUUUUUAUUGGUCGUUCUAGAUUGCCUUCCUCAUAAAAUCAGAUCCAUUCAAGGCAACUCAUAUGCAUAAUUUUAAAUCCAUACUAGGUAGAGUUGAAUUGAGAAGUUUUAAAGUUGAAUCACUAGGCCAAAACAUUUUUUUCCUUUCCAUUUUUUUUCAUUCCAUCUUCCAAAUUUUUUUCUUACAAUUGAAUCUUUGUUUGCUUUUUUUUUUUCAAAUUGCUAUUCUUUUUAUUUGUUUUCUAUGAGGUUAUCGCGAUCUCAAACAAAUAUCUCAGUAUUUAAUUGAUGCUUAAUUUUAUGAGUGUCUAUUUUUAUUAUUAUAUCAUUAAGUAAAAAAAAAUUCAUAUAUAUAUAUAUAUAAAUCAAAGUUGUUAAACCCAAUGGAGUCCAUAAUCCUGGUCGCAGGUUUAACAGGUUAAGUCACGAACCCCGAAUCAAUUUAAUAAGUUAUUGUCUCAAUAUUAAAAUAAAAAAGAUAUCUUCUUUGAUUUUUUUAAAAAAAAAAAUCAAACCACACUUUUUAACAACCAUCCAAGUUGCUUUUGAAUCAGUUAAGUCAAUUAAUUCAUGUCAAGACAACUAUCAAAUGAGUUAAUUUUAAACUUGGGUGAGGCAAAGAGUCAGGUUGUGAGGUUUCAAGACUAACUUGUUGGGUCGGGUUUAAUAAUAAUAUCAAAUAAUUCCUUGUGGCUUAAACAUAUUUUUCACGUUUAAGAAUUUUGAUCUAACCCGCGGUGUAGAUUGAGUUAAUAAACUAGUAUUUUUUUAAAAAAACAAUAGAAGAAAACAAAACUAUUUUAAACAAAAACUUUGAGUCCUUGUAAUUUAGAAAAACAAAAGGUACUUAAUUUGUCUUUGUAGUUUUAGAAAACUAUAUAUUUAGUCCCUUUAUUUUUAAAUUAAUCUAUGACUUGUCUAUUUCAUGAUUGUUUCAAUUUAUUUUGAUAUUUUAUUUUAAGAAGUAAAAAAGGUAUAGGAUGAAAAGAUUGAUAGAAAAAAAAGCAUUUUUUACCAGAAUACUAUCAAAUAUGAUCUAAUCUUUAAAACUUGUAACUCGUUAAAUUCUAGACUUGACUACAAUCAAUAAAGUUAACUCUCAACCAAUUUCAUUUUGAGGGAUAAAAUCAUUAAAAAUAUUAAUUUAAAAAACUUGCAAAAGCAUAAAAAAAUAGUAACAAAAGAAUGAGGUUAAGAUUUGAGAAGAAAAAAAACCUAAGGAAGAUGAAAUUUGAAAAAUAAAACAAUUUUAAAAAUGAUAGAAAAAAUUAGAAAUUAAAAGAAUGAAAAUAAAAUUUGAAAGAUUAAAAUUAUAGGGUGAAAUUGAAAAAUAUUUUUAAUUUGAUAGAUUAUUUAUAGAUUAAAAAAUGGUAGGGGUGAAAUUAAGAAAAACUAUAAAAUAAUCAACCGCAAAAAAUAAAAAUAAAAAACCCAAAAAAAGGAUAAAAAUAAGAAAAUAUUAGCUUAAAAAAGAGAAAAAAAAAAAAACAAAGCAAACCCAAACGAACCUUCUAAACUUGAUUUAAUCUCUAAAACCUACAAUUUGUGAAAUCCCGAACCUCAACUUAAUCAAGAAAUUUAAUUCUUUACAAAUUUAAUUUUGAAGAAUGAAAUCAUGAAUAAAAUAUUAAUAAAAAAACUUACAAAUGAAAAAAGCAACAAAAACAAUGGAGAAAAUUUGAUAGGAAAAAAAAAUCAAGGAGGGUGAAAUUUAUAAAUAUAUAUAUAUAAGCAAUUAAAAAAUAAUUCCAAACAAAAUAAAUAACAUCUAAAAGAAUGAGGACCAAAUUUGAAAGAUAAAAUAAUUAUAGGGAGUGAAAUUAAAAAAUAUUUUUAAUUUGAUAGAUUAUUUAUAGAUUAAAAAAUAAUAAGGGAUGAAAUUGAAAAAUAUUUGUAAUUUAAUAUAUUAUUCAUAGAUUAAAAAAAUAGCAGGGGAUGACAUUGAAAAACAUUUGUAAUUUGAUAGAUUAUCUAUAUAUUUAAAAAUAAUAGGGGAUGAAACUAAAAAAAAAUUAUAAUUUGAUAGAUUUUAUAUAUAUAUAUAUAUAUAUAUAUAUAUAUAUAUAUAUAUAUUAAAAAAUGACAGGGGUGAAUUGGAGAACACUUGUAAUUUCAUAGCUUAUUCUAAAAUAAAAAAUAAUAAUCAAAAGGAUGGGGACCAAAUGUGAAGGAAAAUAAAGUUUUAAAAAAAUAGGGAAGUUGCUACCUUUUUUCAUGCUUUAACUUGUUUUAGAUGACAAAGGAAAUUUAGUAGUGUGUAAUACAGACAUGAGCGCUACUAAUUCUUCUAGCAGCGUUUCUAAUGACCAUGAGUCGUUAGGUGCUAACAAUGAACAGGGACCUAGGGCAUAGGCACCCUUUCUCGAUGCAGGCUUGUUAAGUGCAAUGUCACCUCACAGACAGGGGGUCCAUUCUGAGUAGGAAGUAUAUUGCCUAGUAUAAACCUAACCUUUCAAUGUAAGUUUGUUUUUCUUACUUGCACGAUUAAACAAUAAAAAAUAGUAAAUAAUUUGUGAAAAAAUAGUUUUAAUUAACGAAUAGAAUUUCAAGUUUACAAAUGUAGAGGCUGUUCUAAUAAUAACAUUGGCGAUGAGAUCAUCAAUGAAAGUAUCAUUGUUUCAAUGCAGACAGGAUUUCAAAAAUCUUGAAUGGAAACUAUGAUUGAUGCAUGUUUCUGAAAGUUUCAAGUUAGUAUAUAUUGAAACUUUUUUAUUAUGUUAAUUCAGUUAGUUAGUUUUUUUAAUUUCAAUGAACUAGUUUUUUUACAAAUUUGACGUGCAAGGAAAAAUUUUACUAGGAUCCAUUCUAUUUGUUUUACAUGCGAAGCGGAUGGUAAGAUUCUUUUUUAUUAUAUUUAUUUAUUUUAAUUGUUAUUUUAUAUGAAAAUAUUUAACUAACAGUAGUUUCUUUUUAUAGGCUACCCACUCUUAGACGCAAACCAAGACUCGUGAAGCUUUCUAUAGAAACUCACAUGAGAGAUUAUUACCAUCGAAAAGGCAUGGAUAGUCGAACUCGGAAGUUCAUGGUAAAUUGGAUUUCGAUAAUUUUAUUAUUAUUUUUUAAAAUUAGCUUACUAGCUUUUUUUUCAGGAAAUACAAACUACUCGAUUGUAGGAGAGAUACGAGGAUAAUCCUUCGACCCAUCUAAAACUCGAUAUGGACUUGUGAUUGGAGGAAGGAUCAUCUGAUGGACCUGAUAAAUCAAAUUUAUGGUAUUUCAAACACGACGACUGAGGAUUUGCAGACAGGUCAUAAUGUAUCAAUUAUUGAAUGCUUGCUACAGGUUUUGAGCACUCAAUCUCCAAAGUUUUAGACAAUUCUACAACAAGUUCAAGCUUAGACGACCCGCCUUGUUGCUGAAACAAAACAAAUUAGUGCUAAGACGAUCGAAUUUAGGUGAUUGCACAUGCAACUGUUGUCAACAUCGGUGGUACAUUGGUUCACCUCAUUGCCCUCCUGGUCCCGUCGAAUACCCUCCUCCUCUUUUAGCCCUUCUCCUCUAGAUGACUUGUGUUCAAAUUGAUAAUUUAUUUGAAUUUUUCUAAUUUAUUUAUUUGAAUUUUUAAAUUAAAAAAAAAAAAAAAACAACUUACUGGCGGAUUAAGUUCGUCGGAAAGUUCUAGAGAGUUAAAAAAAUUACAUGAAAUGCCAUAUAUCAUUGCAGAUAGAAUCUAGACAAAAAAAAAUCCCUCAAAGUGUUACAAAAAGUUGAAAUAAAAUUACAGAAAAUGUCACUGACAAUAUGUACAUCACCGAUAAGUUAAUUCCAAUAAAAUAUAAAUCAUUGAUGAAACUAUAAAUUAGUGAUAAAAUUACCAACAUAAUAUAAAUAAUCAAUAUAAUUUUUUUUGACAAAAAGUAACAUUUAUAAUUCUAUGGGUAAAAUUAUUUUGUGCAUUUAAGUUGCUAUACAUGUUAUUUAUUUGUGCUUGGAAUCUGAGUAGCUGCUUGGAAUAGUGUAUCUCUUUAUUAUUAUGUGGGCUCCACUCUCCUUCUGUCAUGGAAGCUAUCAUGAUAUCAAAAGGCUGCUGGAAAGAACUUGGCAGGUUAGUUCGAGCAUUCACUGAGCAUAGUUAUUACCCGAACAUUCAAAUUAAAAUUUUUUAAAAAAAUAAAAUAACACUGUUUCUAAUAAAAAUCUAAAACAAUUCUUUUAAAAUUAAUGAAAUUAAAUUUUAUUUCCAAUGGUUUCAUAACCAAUCAUGGACUUGGAGUCACGAUUAAUGAAGGACAAAUCAAUGGCGCAAAGCCUGCUAAUCAUUUCCAAUGGCAUCAUAACCUGCGGGUACCAGUGGUGGAUGCUGCAAUGGUUCCAAGUGAUUUGAUGAAGACCGCCGUGGAUUAUUUAUGUUACAGCAUCUAGCCGGUGGUGGCGGCCAUGGUUUGCUAAGUUUCCUUCUCCGUCUAUCAGCUGAAGAAUUGCUAGCAUUCAACCUCCUAUUUCUCAACUUAAGAAUUGUUUCGCAGUGGGCUGGUUUGCAAUGAAUUCGAUCUUUUUUAUGGCCUGCUCUUCAUGUAUCCCAGUGUAGAUCACCAAAGAACAAUGGCUGAAUGCUUUGCGUGAUUGUGUUUUUGCUCAGCAGAGCAGUUUGUUGCAUCAACCAUUGUUCUUUGGUGAUCUACACUUGGAUGCAUGGUUUGGUUCUGCAUGUUAACAGUUCUAGUAUUGACGUAUCGGGGCUGUUCUUGAUUUUAGAAAUGAGAAGAAAAAAAUUAAAAAAUUCAUUAAAUUGAGAAAAUAAAAAAAAAAUAACUGAAAAAAUCAAACUAUAAAAAAAAAAAUCGAUUAAACUGAUUAAAAUAUUUUAAAAAAUAUUCGGUUCAAUUUGAUUUUAAUUUCAUAAGCUUGAAACCAAAAAAUCAAAUCGAAUCAAAAAAAAAAAAAAUUCAGCCGAAAAAAACUGAAACAAAGCCAAUUUGAAAGUCCAUAAAAAAAAAACUCAAAAAACAAUAUAGUUUUUGUUUUUACUAUAAAAUAAUCAAACCAUAUUAAAACCGAACAGAACCAAAACUAGUCGGUUAAAUUUUAGUUGUUAAUAUAAAAUAAUCUAACUGAAACCGAUCAGUUUGAAUCAGUUUCAGUUCGGGUUUUUUUUUUUUUUUUUGUAUUUUGCAAAAUGUUGAUUUUGUUGUUUUUAUAGAAAAAAACCAAACCAAACCGAAAAAUAAUCACCUCAACUUGAUCCUUCCCUCUUGCCUCCAUCUAAUCCUCUGCACCAUCUCUCAUAGUGCACUGAGCUUCGUUAUUGGCCGACAUGGAGCGUCCCAGUAGACUUUGAUUUCUUGAAGUUUUGCCCCCUAGAGGUGCUGUUAAGGUUAAUGCCGAUGUUUUUUUCUCUUGCUGCUAGAGGAAUGGUAUCAGCUGGUGGCCUGAUUCGAGAUGAUGCGGCCGUGUGGACGGAAUUUGCUUACAAUAUUGGCUGCUGUUCGUCCUCGUGACUCCACUUUGUGGUAUCUGCGUAGGUUGAGUUUAGCUUGUUCCUUGAAAGCCUUUCCUCGCGUUCUGUAUCAUCUCCUGUUCUAUAUCAUGAGCCUAAUGAUCACAGGAGUGUAAAUCCCAGGACCAUCAAUGGAGUGCAAAUCCUGAGCCCUGUCAGAUACCCAAGAACUGGUGGUGGUCUUGGUUUGGCUUGCUUGGUUUCUUUCACCAUCUAUUUUCUUAAGAAUUGCAAGCAUUUAACCCAGAAACUCAUGAUGCUUAAGCUGUAUCUAUCAGCAUAAGAAAGAGAUGAACAUAAAAGAUUAAAGAAAAUGUCUCAUCCGAAUCUAUGAAAAAUGACAGAAACAUAUCUUUUUUUUUUAUCCCCUCCCCAAUGUUUCUAGCCUGUAUAGUUAGUUAUAACUUAAACAUAGUAGGAUUUCUCACAUUCAACCUUCUAAUUCUCAACUUCAUAAUCAUAGAAGUAUUAGGAGGGAUCUCCAUUAUUAAAAAUCAAUACUCAUCAGCAUCAUCCUCGUAUAACCAAAAAACAUUAACAAAAGGGAAGCUCACAAUGUAAGGAAUAGCAAAGAUUCAAAUUAAAAGCAAAAGCAAAGGCAAUCAUGUAUGAUUAAUAAGUAAAUCAUAGCCCUUUAUCUUUAUGAGCAGCUGCCUUUUUGUUGGCAUAGCUCCUGCCAUGGAAAAUCAAGAAAAAGAGCCAAGAGUGAAGCAUUGAAAACAGCAUUGAAGCACCAACCCCAGAUUCCAGAGCAACCUGUUCCUGUAAAAUGGUAGUACAACAUCAAGCCCGAUAUGGCAAAGCUAAAAACAAACUGCACAAUCUGGCAAUCAGUGACGAGUCUUUUCCACUUUGGCCUCACACCCAUUGCACUCCACAGGUAGUAGUAGUACAUUACCACAUGUACCAAAGAAUUGGUGAUUAAGGCCACUGGAAACAAUGACUGUGAAGUCAUCAGCCACAGGUAGCACAUGACCACCACCGUUGCGUGGUGGUAGACGUGGAGGAAUGUGAGGCGUUGGAUCGAAUUGCUCAAGAUGAUCAGAAGAGUGUCGACAAAUUCAAGAAUCUUGGAGAGGUAGAAUAUGUAGGCCCAGAAAAAGAGAGGCCCGGAUUGAGGGGUGUGGGGAGGGAAGCAAAUGAUGUGGUGGAAGUGAGGGCGGGCGGUGGGGGAGAUGAUGGAGAGGGUGCAGCCGAGGGCCAUGAUGAAGGAGAGAAGGAAGAGGACGAAGCUGUGGAGGGCUGUGAUUGGUUUGAGGAUGUGAGGUCUUCGGAGGGAAGAAGGGAGAGGGAUUCGGGCGAGAAGGAAUGUGAGGAAGAGGUAGGCGGCAACUGUGAGGGCGAGGAACUGGUAGGAGGAGCCAAAGGUUUGGCCUGGGGUCCAGGAAAAGUGCAGGAUUUUUGGGUGGUUCACUAGCCAGUACUGAAGGGUAGAAAGUAUUGGGUUCAUCUUGAGGAUGCUCACGCGCCGCCUGCAGUGGUGUGGGUGGGCGACGGAGAUGGGAACGGGAAGAGUCUAGGUUUGUGGAAGUGGAAGGUGCGUGAUGGUUUCGGACGAAGGCUUAUCUUUUAGAUGUUGAC
This 8116-nucleotide long non-coding RNA is filed under the name Populus tremula. RNAcentral's name for it is "long non-coding RNA (PTRE_LNC002058)". The record is from RNAcentral. Lineage: Eukaryota; Viridiplantae; Streptophyta; Magnoliopsida; Malpighiales; Salicaceae.